GUAGGUAUAGCCCAGUGGUAGAGCACAUGCUUAGCAUGCACAAGGUCCUGGGUUCAAUCCCCAGUCCCUCCA
RNAcentral lists this transfer RNA (72 nucleotides) under Camelus bactrianus (Bactrian camel). It matches the Rfam family "tRNA". From Rfam's summary of the family: Transfer RNA (tRNA) molecules are approximately 80 nucleotides in length. Their secondary structure includes four short double-helical elements and three loops (D, anti-codon, and T loops). Further hydrogen bonds mediate the characteristic L-shaped molecular structure. tRNAs have two regions of fundamental functional importance: the anti-codon, which is responsible for specific mRNA codon recognition, and the 3' end, to which the tRNAs corresponding amino acid is attached (by aminoacyl-tRNA synthetases). tRNAs cope with the degeneracy of the genetic code in two manners: having more than one tRNA (with a specific anti-codon) for a particular amino acid; and 'wobble' base-pairing, i.e. permitting non-standard base-pairing at the 3rd anti-codon position. Lineage: Eukaryota; Metazoa; Chordata; Mammalia; Artiodactyla; Camelidae. RNAcentral also lists the same sequence under 1 other name. The record is from Rfam by way of RNAcentral.